Molecule: ribosomal RNA, 253 nt
Filed under: uncultured bacterium
Lineage: Bacteria
Description: partial 16S ribosomal RNA
Rfam family: Bacterial small subunit ribosomal RNA
Source: RNAcentral
UACGUAGGCAGCGAGCGCUGUUCGGAGUUACUGGGCGUAAAGGGUGUGUAGGCGGUUGUUUAAGUUUGGUGUGAAAUCUCCCGGCUCAACUGGGAGGGUGCGCCGAAUACUGAAUGACUCGAGUGUGGGAGAGGUGAGUGGAAUUCCUGGUGUAGCGGUGAAAUGCGUAGAUAUCAGGAGGAACACCGGUGGUGUAGACGGCUCACUGGACCAUAACUGACGCUGAGACACGAAAGCGUGGGUAGCAAACAGG